UACAGAGGUCUCAAGCGUUGUUCGGAUUCAUUGGGCGUAAAGGGUGCGUAGGUGGUGAGGUAAGUCGGAUGUGAAAGCUCCAAGCUCAACUUGGAAAUGGCAUUGGAAACUACCUUGCUAGAGGGUUUGAGGGGGGACUGGAAUACUUGGUGUAGCAGUGAAAUGCGUAGAUAUCAAGUGGAACACCAGUGGCGAAGGCGAGUCCCUGGAAAACUCCUGACACUGAGGCACGAAAGCUAGGGGAGCAAACAGG
This 253-nucleotide ribosomal RNA is filed under the name uncultured bacterium. RNAcentral describes it as "partial 16S ribosomal RNA". It matches the Rfam family "Bacterial small subunit ribosomal RNA", at positions 524 to 776 of the family's 1533-position model. The record is from RNAcentral.